GCUCCAAUCCUAGAAAGGUUAGUGACAAGAAUACCUGAAGGAAUAUUUUUUUUUUACAAUUAUCCUUAUAUGCUAAAUACACAAGGUAAUGUUGCAAAUAAUUAAAAGCUCAUGUUACAAUCUGAUCAAUGCUUAUUUUAAGACACUAAGCUUGUCCUUGGGAAACCAUCAGUUUAUGUUGGCGAAGUGGUUUCCCCUCCGAUGCCAACCUAUAUCUAGAUCAACUCAACGAGAUCUGCAAUAUUUAUUAUAGACAUAUGCAUCGACAACCGCCCUUUUAAAGUUUUUAUAAAUAGAAAGGAAGAGGGGGUUGGAGAUCUCAAGUGUGGUGAUGUCGGAGAGACCAAU
This 348-nucleotide long non-coding RNA is filed under the name Sorghum bicolor (sorghum). RNAcentral describes it as "long non-coding RNA (SBIC_LNC012798)". The record is from RNAcentral. Lineage: Eukaryota; Viridiplantae; Streptophyta; Magnoliopsida; Poales; Poaceae.